UUAAGUUAUUAAGGGCGCAUGGUGGAUGCCUUGGCACUAGAAGCCGAUGAAGGACGUUACUAACGACGAUAUGCUUUGGGGAGCUGUAAGUAAGCUUUGAUCCAGAGAUUUCCGAAUGGGGAAACCCAGCAUGAGUUAUGUCAUGUUAUCGAUAUGUGAAUACAUAGCAUAUCAGAAGGCACACCCGGAGAACUGAAACAUCUUAGUACCCGGAGGAAGAGAAAGAAAAUUCGAUUCCCUUAGUAGCGGCGAGCGAAACGGGAAGAGCCCAAACCAACAAGCUUGCUUGUUGGGGUUGUAGGACACUCUAUACGGAGUUACAAAGGACGACAUUAGACGAAUCAUCUGGAAAGAUGAAUCAAAGAAGGUAAUAAUCCUGUAGUCGAAAAUGUUGUCUCUCUUGAGUGGAUCCUGAGUACGACGGAGCACGUGAAAUUCCGUUGGAAUCUGGGAGGACCAUCUCCUAAGGCUAAAUACUCUCUAGUGACCGAUAGUGAACCAGUACCGUGAGGGAAAGGUGAAAAGCACCCCGGAAGGGGAGUGAAAUAGAACCUGAAACCGUGUGCUUACAAGUAGUCAGAGCCCGUUAAUGGGUGAUGGCGUGCCUUUUGUAGAAUGAACCGGCGAGUUACGAUUUGAUGCAAGGUUAAGCAGUAAAUGUGGAGCCGUAGCGAAAGCGAGUCUGAAUAGGGCGUUUAGUAUUUGGUCGUAGACCCGAAACCAGGUGAUCUACCCUUGGUCAGGUUGAAGUUCAGGUAACACUGAAUGGAGGACCGAACCGACUUACGUUGAAAAGUGAGCGGAUGAACUGAGGGUAGCGGAGAAAUUCCAAUCGAACCUGGAGAUAGCUGGUUCUCUCCGAAAUAGCUUUAGGGCUAGCCUCAAGUGAUGAUUAUUGGAGGUAGAGCACUGUUUGGACGAGGGGCCCCUCUCGGGUUACCGAAUUCAGACAAACUCCGAAUGCCAAUUAAUUUAACUUGGGAGUCAGAACAUGGGUGAUAAGGUCCGUGUUCGAAAGGGAAACAGCCCAGACCACCAGCUAAGGUCCCAAAAUAUAUGUUAAGUGGAAAAGGAUGUGGCGUUGCCCAGACAACUAGGAUGUUGGCUUAGAAGCAGCCAUCAUUUAAAGAGUGCGUAAUAGCUCACUAGUCGAGUGACACUGCGCCGAAAAUGUACCGGGGCUAAACAUAUUACCGAAGCUGUGGAUUGUCCUUUGGACAAUGGUAGGAGAGCGUUCUAAGGGCGUUGAAGCAUGAUCGUAAGGACAUGUGGAGCGCUUAGAAGUGAGAAUGCCGGUGUGAGUAGCGAAAGACGGGUGAGAAUCCCGUCCACCGAUUGACUAAGGUUUCCAGAGGAAGGCUCGUCCGCUCUGGGUUAGUCGGGUCCUAAGCUGAGGCCGACAGGCGUAGGCGAUGGAUAACAGGUUGAUAUUCCUGUACCACCUAUAAUCGUUUUAAUCGAUGGGGGGACGCAGUAGGAUAGGCGAAGCGUGCGAUUGGAUUGCACGUCUAAGCAGUAAGGCUGAGUAUUAGGCAAAUCCGGUACUCAUUAAGGCUGAGCUGUGAUGGGGAGAAGACAUUGUGUCUUCGAGUCGUUGAUUUCACACUGCCGAGAAAAGCCUCUAGAUAGAAAAUAGGUGCCCGUACCGCAAACCGACACAGGUAGUCAAGAUGAGAAUUCUAAGGUGAGCGAGCGAACUCUCGUUAAGGAACUCGGCAAAAUGACCCCGUAACUUCGGGAGAAGGGGUGCUCUUUAGGGUUAACGCCCAGAAGAGCCGCAGUGAAUAGGCCCAAGCGACUGUUUAUCAAAAACACAGGUCUCUGCUAAACCGUAAGGUGAUGUAUAGGGGCUGACGCCUGCCCGGUGCUGGAAGGUUAAGAGGAGUGGUUAGCUUCUGCGAAGCUACGAAUCGAAGCCCCAGUAAACGGCGGCCGUAACUAUAACGGUCCUAAGGUAGCGAAAUUCCUUGUCGGGUAAGUUCCGACCCGCACGAAAGGCGUAACGAUUUGGGCACUGUCUCAACGAGAGACUCGGUGAAAUCAUAGUACCUGUGAAGAUGCAGGUUACCCGCGACAGGACGGAAAGACCCCGUGGAGCUUUACUGUAGCCUGAUAUUGAAAUUCGGCACAGCUUGUACAGGAUAGGUAGGAGCCUUUGAAACGUGAGCGCUAGCUUACGUGGAGGCGCUGGUGGGAUACUACCCUAGCUGUGUUGGCUUUCUAACCCGCACCACUUAUCGUGGUGGGAGACAGUGUCAGGCGGGCAGUUUGACUGGGGCGGUCGCCUCCUAAAAGGUAACGGAGGCGCUCAAAGGUUCCCUCAGAAUGGUUGGAAAUCAUUCAUAGAGUGUAAAGGCAUAAGGGAGCUUGACUGCGAGACCUACAAGUCGAGCAGGGUCGAAAGACGGACUUAGUGAUCCGGUGGUUCCGCAUGGAAGGGCCAUCGCUCAACGGAUAAAAGCUACCCCGGGGAUAACAGGCUUAUCUCCCCCAAGAGUUCACAUCGACGGGGAGGUUUGGCACCUCGAUGUCGGCUCAUCGCAUCCUGGGGCUGUAGUCGGUCCCAAGGGUUGGGCUGUUCGCCCAUUAAAGCGGUACGCGAGCUGGGUUCAGAACGUCGUGAGACAGUUCGGUCCCUAUCCGUCGUGGGCGUAGGAAAUUUGAGAGGAGCUGUCCUUAGUACGAGAGGACCGGGAUGGACAUACCUCUGGUGUACCAGUUGUCGUGCCAACGGCAUAGCUGGGUAGCUAUGUGUGGACGGGAUAAGUGCUGAAAGCAUCUAAGCAUGAAGCCCCCCUCAAGAUGAGAUUUCCCAACUUCGGUUAUAAGAUCCCUCAAAGAUGAUGAGGUUAAUAGGUUCGAGGUGGAAGCAUGGUGACAUGUGGAGCUGACGAAUACUAAUCGAUCGAAGACUUAAUCAA
RNAcentral lists this ribosomal RNA (2921 nucleotides) under Staphylococcus aureus 08BA02176. RNAcentral's name for it is "bacterial LSU rRNA". It matches the Rfam family "Bacterial large subunit ribosomal RNA". The record is from RNAcentral. Lineage: Bacteria; Bacillati; Bacillota; Bacilli; Caryophanales; Staphylococcaceae.